RNAcentral lists this ribosomal RNA (482 nucleotides) under uncultured bacterium. RNAcentral describes it as "partial 16S ribosomal RNA". It matches the Rfam family "Bacterial small subunit ribosomal RNA", at positions 30 to 507 of the family's 1533-position model. The record is from RNAcentral.
AUUGAACGCUGGCGGCAUGCUUUACACAUGCAAGUCGAACGGUAACAGGCCGCAAGGUGCUGACGAGUGGCGAACGGGUGAGUAAUGCAUCGGAACGUGCCCAGUCGUGGGGGAUAACUACUCGAAAGAGUAGCUAAUACCGCAUACGAUCUAUGGAUGAAAGCGGGGGACCGUAAGGCCUCGCGCGAUUGGAGCGGCAUAUGUCAGAUUAGGUAGUUGGUGGGGUAAAGGCUCACCAAGCCAACGACCUGUAGGUGGUCUGAGAGGACGACCAGCCACACGGGGACUGAGCCAGCGCCCAGACUCCUACGGGAGGCAGCAGUGGGGAAUUUUGGACAAUGGGCGCAAGCCUGAUCCAGCAAUGCCGCGUGCAGGAAGAAGGCCUUCGGGUUGUAAACUGCUUUUGUACGGAGCGAAACGGCUCUGGUUAAUACCCGGGGCUAAUGACGGUACCGUAAGAAUAAGCACCGGCUAACUACGUG